UUCGAAUCCCACUGUGGCCGGGCAUAUUUUUCAAGCUUGCCCGGUGUGGAUAUGCGCUCAGAAUAACAUCGCAUACAUAUUAUUCACCUGAGUACACAACACCAACACAGAAAAAUUCAUUACUAGAACACAUUGGUAUUGAAGGAACUAGAUACUGUUCCGAAAUAUCACUUACUCGAACGGUCCUGACCGCGUAGCUCAGCUGGAAGAGCAUUGGGCUAGUAUUUCAAAGGUCGUAGGUUCGAAUCCCACCGUGACCGGGCAUAUUUUUCAAGCUCGCCCGGUGUGGAUAUGCACUCAGAGUAACAUCGCAAACAUAUUAUUCACCUGAGUACACAACACCAACACAGAAAAAAAAAAUUCAUAUUACUAGAACACAUUGGUAUUGAAGGAACUAGAUACUGUUCCGAAAUAUCACUUACUCGAACCGUCCUGACCGCGUAGCUCAGUUGGAAGAGCAUUGGGCUAGUAUUCCAAAGGUCGUAGAUUCGAAUCCCACCGUGGCCGGGCAUAUUUUCCAAUCUCGCCCGGUGUGGAUGUACACUCAGAGUAACACCACAAAUAUCAUAUUCACCUGAGUACACUACACCAACACAGAAAAAAAAUUCAUAUUACUAGAAUACAUUGGUAUCGAAGGAACUAGAUUCUGUUCCGAAAUAUCACUUACUCGAACCGUCCUGACCGCGUAGCUCAGUUGGAAGAGCAUUGGGCUAGUAUUCCAAAGGUCGUAGGUUCGAAUCCCACCGUAGCCGGGCAUAUUUUUCAAGCUCGCCCGGUGUGGAUAUACACUCAGAGUAACACCACAAAUAUCAUAUUCACCUGAGUACACUACACCAACACAGAAAAAAAAAAAAAAAAAAUUCAUAUUAAUAGAAUACAUUGGUAUCGAAGGAACUAGAUUCUGUUCCGAAAUAUCACUUACUCGAACCGUCCUGACCGCGUAGCUCAGUUGGAAGAGCAUUGGGCUAGUAUUCCAAAGGUCGUAGGUUCGAAUCCCACCGUGGCCGGGCAUAUUUUUCAAGCUCGCCCGGUGUGGAUAUGCACUCAGAGUAACAUCACAAACAUAUUAUUCACCUGAGUACACAACACCAGCACAGAAAAAAAAAAAAAUUCAUAUUACAAGAACACAUUGGUAUUGAAGGAACUAGAUACUGUUCCGAAAUAUCACUUACUCGAACCGUCCUGACCGCGUAGCUCAAUUGGAAGAGCAUUGGGCUAGUAUUCCAAAGGUCGUAGGUUCGAAUCCCACCGUGGCCGGGCAUAUAUUUCAAGCUCGCCCGGUGUGGAUAUACACUCAGAGUAACACCACAAAUAUCAUAUUCACCUGAGUACACUACACCAACACAGAAAAAAAAUUCAUAUUACUAGAAUACAUUGGUAUCGAAGGAACUAGAUUCUGUUCCGAAAUAUCACUUACGUGAACCGUCCUGACCGCGUAGCUCAGUUGGAAGAGCAUUGGGCUAGUAUUCCAAAGGUCGUAGGUUCGAAUCCCACCGUGGCCGGGCAUAUUUUUCAAGCUCGCCCGGUGUGGAUAUACACUCAGAGUAACACCACAAAUAUCAUAUUCACCUGAGUACACUACACCAACACAGAAAAAAAAUUCAUAUUACUAGAAUACAUUGGUAUCGAAGGAACUAGAUUCUGUUCCGAAAUAUCACUUACUCGAACCGUCCUGACCGCGUAGCUCAGUUGGAAGAGCAUUGGGCUAGUAUUCCAAAGGUCGUAGGUUCGAAUCCCACCGUGGCCGGGCA
RNAcentral lists this transfer RNA (1751 nucleotides) under Paramuricea clavata. The stretch from base 935 to 1007 matches the Rfam family "tRNA". The record is from RNAcentral. Lineage: Eukaryota; Metazoa; Cnidaria; Anthozoa; Malacalcyonacea; Plexauridae.